RNAcentral lists this ribosomal RNA (301 nucleotides) under uncultured bacterium. Its description in RNAcentral is "partial 16S ribosomal RNA". It matches the Rfam family "Bacterial small subunit ribosomal RNA", at positions 509 to 807 of the family's 1533-position model. The record is from RNAcentral.
CAGUCGCCACGGUAAUACGAAGGGUGCAAGCGUUAAUCGGAUUUACUGGGCGUAAAGCGUGCGUAGGUGGCUGUUUAAGUCGGAUGUGAAAGCCCUGGGCUUAACCUGGGAACUGCAUUCGAUACUGGAUAGCUAGAGAUCGGUAGAGGGCAGCGGAAUUCCGGGUGUAGCGGUGAAAUGCGUAGAUAUCCGGAGGAACACCGAUGGCGAAGGCAACUGCCUGGGCCUGAUCUGACACUGAGGCACGAAAGCGUGGGUAGCAAACAGGAUUAGAGACCCCAGUAGUCCCUGUCUCUUAUAC